CCUACGGGCGGCAGCAGUGGGGAAUAUUGCGCAAUGGGCGAAAGCCUGACGCAGCGACGCCGCGUGAGGGAUGAAGGUCUUCGGAUCGUAAACCUCUGUCAGCAGGGAAGAACGGUCACUGUGCUAAUCAGCAGUGAAUUGACGGUACCUGCAAAGGAAGCACCGGCUAACUCCGUGCCAGCAGCCGCGGUAAUACGGAGGGUGCGAGCGUUAAUCGGAAUUAUUGGGCGUAAAGCGCUCGUAGGCGGUAUGUCAAGUCAAGGGUGAAAUCCCCGCGCUCAACGUGGGAACUGCCUUUGAAGCUGGCAAACUGGAGUGUGUGAGAGGAUAGUGGAAUUCCAGGUGUAGGAGUGAAAUGCGUAGAUAUUAGGAGGAACACCAGUGGCGAAGGCGACUUUCUGGACUGUACCUGACGCUGAGGCGCGAAAGCGUGGGUAGCGAACGGGAUUAGAUACCCCAGUAGUC
This 465-nucleotide ribosomal RNA is filed under the name uncultured bacterium. RNAcentral describes it as "partial 16S ribosomal RNA". It matches the Rfam family "Bacterial small subunit ribosomal RNA", at positions 338 to 795 of the family's 1533-position model. The record is from RNAcentral.